This is an RNA transcript of Oryza brachyantha (malo sina), 5757 nucleotides long. RefSeq lists it as uncharacterized. The record is from RefSeq and is a predicted model, not a curated record. The transcript is spliced from 13 exons. Lineage: Eukaryota; Viridiplantae; Streptophyta; Magnoliopsida; Poales; Poaceae.
UUCUUUUACCUCCUGAAGCACUCCCAGUCAUUUUCCCCCCAACUCAAAGAAAAGCAAGCUCAAUCCUCCACAGAUCCAGCAGUAGUCAAGCAAUCUAACCUUCACACCCACAAAAUCGAAAUCUCCUGCCUCAGAUCCACCCAAAUCAGUCAAAGAUGUCUCUCUGUUGGCCCCCAUUUGAGCAGAUCUAAUCCUCCAAAAAUCCCCUCUCCAUCUACUAGCUUGUGAUCUACUAGCUUUGAAAAUUCACGGGUCCUCCUGUUAAUCAAGCUGUUGAUUCUCUGCUGCAUCCAGAUUACGUUUCACUCCAUCGAGUGAAUCCUACUUCUGGCCCAAGGCUCUUCUGCUCUCUUCUCUUUGAGUGGAACAAAUAGACAUACACUGAAAAGCUUCUGCACUUAUUUGGGACGAGAGAACGAAAGGCAGUGGUAUCAAUAAUCAUUUACAGUUUAAUCUAGACAAGGAGGAAAUUAAUUAAGAAGAUUAACCAUGUCACUAGAAGAAGAGCGCAGUUGGAUGUAUAGUGGGUGGAGUGAUGACGGACGACACUCUCAGGAGUGGAUGCGCAACACAAAUAAUUUUUUGGCUCAUGCUUUUCAAGGUGUUCGUAAUGCUAAGUUUGGAAUUCCCUGUCCUUGCUCAAAAUGUCGCAAUGGAGUCAGGCGAACAAAAAAUUUAAUGACCACUCAUCUUUGUCAAUGGGGGUUCAUGCCUGGCUAUUUUAGAUGGACUGAACAUGGGGAAAGACAUGUUGGGGUGUCUAGAAUAGAGGAGACUUAUAGUGCCGCUGACCGCUUAGAUGACAUGUUGGGUGACUUUGGGGAUGCAGUUCAUAUUGAUAAUAUAGAUGAGGAGCCCACUGCAGAUGCCAAAGCGUUCUAUUCCAUGUUGUCAGCCGCACAAGAUCCGGUUCACAAUUUAACUUUAGUAUCACGUUUAACUGCAGUAACACGUUUGAUGGGCAUUAAGUCACAGCAUAAUCUUGUACUUAGCUUGUUUGGAGAUGUUCUGCCACAAGGACAUAUCAUGCCAUCUACAUUAUAUGAGUGUAUGUGUCUUUUAAAAGGACUCAAAAUGCCAUAUGUGAAGAUUGAUGCUUGCUAUAAUAAUUGUAUGCUGUACUAUAAGGAGAACAGUGACAAAGAGUACUGUGAUUUCUGUGGGGAACCUCGGUAUGAAAUUGUUCAAGAGGAAAACACAGGUAGAAAGCGUAAACCAAUUCCACGAAAAGUUUUACGUUACCUCCCAUUUAUACCAAGAUUGCAAAGGAUGUACAUGGAGCCGGAAACUGCAAAGCAUAUGCAGUUUCAUAAGGAAGGGAAACGCGUUAAUCCAGGACUUAUGGUGCAUCCAUCUGAUGGUGAGGCAUGGAAAGAAUUUGAUAAGAUCUUUGCUAACUUUGCAAUGGAUGCACGUAAUGUUCGUGUUGUAUUAGCUACAGAUGGCUUCAAUCCAUUUAGUUUUGGAGCUACACAAUAUUCUUGUUGGCCAGUUUUUGUGGCACCUUUGAACUUACCUCCGUCUCUCUGUUUAAAACCAGAAAAUAUAUUUCUUAGUCUAGUGAUCCCUGGACCAAAGCAUCCUGGCAAGAACAUGAACGUUUUCAUGAGACCACUAGUUGAUGAGUUAAAGGAGGCAUGGCAAGGGGUACAGACUUAUGAUAGCUCUCUCAAGCAAAAUUUCAACAUGAGGGUGACCUAUUUUUUCUCUGUACAUGACCAUCCUGCAUUAGGCAUGUUUUCUGGAUGGUCUACACAUGGUAGCUUGGCUUGUCAAGAAUGUAUGGGGGAUAUUCAUACAAUUUGGCUAGACAAAGGGCACAAGUAUAGCUGGUUUGAUUGUCAUAGAAGAUUUCUUCCCCUUGACCAUGAGUUUAGGGAGCAGCAUAAUACAUUUCGAAAAGAGACAACAGUGCAUGACAUGCCUCCACAUAGGUUAAAUGGGGAAGAGGUGCUAGCAUAUAUGAAUAAUAUCAAAGAAAACUCAUUUGAGGGUUAUGGCGAGACACACAAUUGGACACACAUUCCUAUCUUGUGGGAGCUGCCAUAUUUCCCUAAACUUUUGCUUCGACAUAACAUCGACGUCAUGCAUAAUGAGAAAAAUGUUGCUGAAGCAAUUUUUAAUACAUGCCUUGAUAUUCCCAAUAAGACUAAGGACAAUAUCAAAGCUCGCCUUGACCAAGCUGAAAUAUGCAAUAGAAGUCAUCUAAACCUUGUAGAAAAACCAAAUAACAAGUGGGAGAAGCCUAUUGCAUCAUUUUGCUUAACAAGGGCCCAAAAGAAGGAUGUAAUGAAAUGGAUUAUGGAGCUCAAAUUUCCAGAUGGGUAUGCAGCCAACAUAAGGAGAGGGGUUAACAUUGAGCAAUUAAAAAUACAUGGUCUCAAAAGUCAUGACUACCAUAUAUUUCUUGAGCGGCUAUUGCCUGUUAUGCUUCGAGGGUUUGUACAUAAUGAUGUUUGGGAGGUAUUAGCCGAGCUAAGUUAUUUUUAUAGAUUGCUUUGUUCCAAAGAAAUAGAUUCUGUCCAGAUGCUGAAAUUGGAGGCAGACAUUCCUGUCAUAAUUUGCAAAUUAGAGAAAAUUUUUCCCCCAGGGUUCUUUAAUCCAAUGGAACAUCUAAUGAUACACCUUCCUUAUCAAGCAAGAAUUGGAGGUCCUGUUCAAUAUCGUUGGAUGUAUAAUUAUAAGAGGUUCAUAAAAAAGGUUAGACAAAAAGUUCGCAAUAAGGCACGUGUUGAAGGAUCAAUUGUUGAGUCCUAUCUUGUUGACGAAAUUUCAAGCUUCACUUCCCUGUACCUUCCUGAAACUAUAUCUAACUCACGAAAUCAACCUCACCGCUAUGCUCAACAUUCUGUUAUGAGCACAAGUAGCCUAAGCUUAUUCCAAGUUAGGGGAUGGAAGGUUGGAAGAGGGAUAUCUAGAGUGUUAACUAUGGAAGAAUACAAGACAGCAAUGAUAUAUAUUUUGACAAACAUGGUUGAAAUGGAUGAGAUUAUGAAAAAAUUUGAACGUGAACAAUGGAGGCGCUCGAGACCACCAAAUCAAAAGGAAUUAGAUAGAUUAAGGCGAGAUGGAGAUGGUAAUAAUAAACCCAGCUUGCUGGAUUGGUUCAAAACUUUGUGCAUCAAGGAUGCAAGCAUAUGUAAUGAAUUGCGCCACAUUUCACGAGGAUGUAGCUUAAAAGUUAAGUCAUAUGACAUGUAUGAAGUUAAUGGGUACAGAUUUCGAUUUGAGAAGUAUGAAAAAUCUAGGGGGAAGCUUGCUACUAUUAAUACUGGGGUACUUGCUAUGGGAGUUGACGAUAUUACUAAUGAUGAGCUUGAGUAUUAUGGUUUUAUCAAGGACAUUAUAGAGCUCAAAUUUGAUGGUGAUAAUGAGUUUGCUCUUGUGUUGUUUGAGUGCCAUUGGUUCCACCCAACUAAUGGAGUGAGACACUUGAACAGAUUUGGAUUAGUCGAGGUAGCACAUGCAUCAUCCAAUCCUACCAAUGAGCCUUUUGUUCUUGCUAACCAAGUAACCCAAGUUUAUUAUGUUCCAUAUGCAUGCACUUCUGAUGAAACUCUUAAUGCAUGGUGGGUUGCCUACAAGGUGGCACCUCUAGGUAGUGUACCAACUCCCUCAAUGGAUGAUUACAGUGAUGCACCUCAAACAACUAUAGAUGUCUUUCAAGAAGAUGGUUUGCAAGGUGACUUAUUUGUACAACUAGAAUUUGGCCUUGAUAACAUUGCACCUCGAGGUUCAGAUGAGGUUGAUGACCCAGAUGAUUUGUUUGUCCUAACGAAUCAAGAACAUUCUGGUAGUAUAGGGCAUGAUCAUCCAUCUGAUAAAGACGAAGAAAACAUGUCUGAUACAGAAUCAUGUCCUGAAAUAUAUGUUGAAAAUUACCAAGAAGACAUUGAUGAUUUGUAAUUUUAUAUUUUAGUAUUGGUAUUAUAAAUAUAUAUUGAUGACACUUGGAAGAAGGCAAUGCCGUCCUAUCGAGAACUCAGUAGCUAUUGAGAAUCUUAUUGAGGAUGAGGGUUACUUACGGGGUCUUUUUGAACUUCCACCUGCUAUUCCUAAUGAGAAAGAUCGCCCAUUGAUUGAACCUGAUGGCAAUACCCACUGGAUUGAACUCCCUAUAUUACAUAAAGGCCGGAAGCCAGCAAGUGUAUUGUCAUGUCUCCUAAGGGAAUAUCAUCCUGGAAUUGUUAACUACAAAGGAAAAACAUUGGUGGCAAAGAAAUGGCUGCAUUAUGAAGCUCAAAAGGACACAAGUGGCCGUUCUGUUGCCAAUGAAGUUGAAGAUAAUUUCUGGCUAAGGUUUAGGUGUGAACCUCAGCAGAAGCUGCAAGACAACAUGUUGGAAGGUGCUGCAAGGUUCUCAUCACAAGUGUCAUGUACUAUGCUAGGAUCAAUGCCAUAAUAGACCACUGUCGCAAAGUUGAAAAACAAAAAAAGAUAUCAGACAAGGCUGCUGGGCACUGUUAUCUACUAAGAAAUGAGUACAUAGCACAAAAACCUAAAUGGUGCACUCAGGAGGCUUGGGCUGUUCUAGUUGAUGAAUGGUGUGAUCCUUCCUGGAUUAAAAAAUCAGAGAAAAGUCAUGCCAAUAGAACCAGCUCAAAAUAUAAGCCUCAUAAGGGUGGUUCUAACUCCAUUGCGACAAUAAGACAAAAAAUGUCUAUGAGAGAAGGGCGGGACAUAAGUAAGAUUGAGGCGUGGGUCUACACACAUAGAGGGGCCGAUCCAAAUAACCCUGAUGAACUGAACACUGAGGAAGCCACCGAGUGUCUGAAGGAUUAUAGAACAAAUGUUGCUAGAUUACGUGGGAAAGAAUACAAUUGGAAGAAUAAUCCUGUUGAUCCUCAAGCUCUAUACAAUUGCUCUGCCAGGAAGGGACAUGGUAGAUGGGCAACAUUUAAUGGGCUUAUUAAUGAUAAAGAGGCUAUUGAUGAGGUUAGAGUUGGUAGAGCUUCCUCCGUUGUUCGUAAGCGUCUUUGUCAAGAACAAGAUGAAAAUGAGAAAAGAAGGCAGUCUGAAAAGAUUCGGAGAACAGAGGAUCAUGCUAAGAGUGUCUUAUCAUGGGGUUUAGGCUUGUAUGAUCAUUGCAAUGGCAUGCAUAAGCUUCUUGUGACUCUUGCUACCAACCAAGGUGUUCCUGCUAAUGAAAUUCCACCUCCAUUUCCUCCACCACCAUCUCCUCCAGGCUCUCCCAAUGAAUCUCCUAUUCUUCAUGAUCAUAACAUGAUUGCCCUUGUUGAACUGGAAAACCAAGAGAGUGCAUUCAAUGUGGUUGCUAAAGGAAUGUUCGGAGGCUACUUAAGUGCAAUGUGCAACGAAGCAGAAAGUUCCUCUCCAAAUUUGGAUGAUGAAAUUGACCCAUUCUGAUUUAGUCUCCUUUAAAAUAUUAAAACUUGUUAGCUACUUAAUUAGUAUUUUUUUGGUCCCUUGUGGACAAUUACUCUGCUUUAGCAACUCUAGCUAAUGCAGGUAAUGAUUAUUAUUCUUUUGGUCCCUUGUGGACAAGCAUUCUGCUUUAGCAAGUCUAGCUAAUGCAAGGAAUGAAUCUACGCUACAUGAUGAUCUUUUGCUGGAUUGUAGCCAACAUGAAAAUGUUGCAUAGGAGUAAAUUCUAUACAUGUAAUAGGAUAAAUUAGUUGAGACUAUCAAACCCAGUGGCAUUACUGAAUUUGGACUUGAGUGUCGUAUGGCUAAUUGAUCUAACAUGUUUUUACAUAUGUGUGUAUUAAUUUCAUUAUUAAUAAAAUACCACUUUUA